Molecule: ribosomal RNA, 275 nt
Filed under: uncultured Curvibacter sp.
Lineage: Bacteria; Pseudomonadati; Pseudomonadota; Betaproteobacteria; Burkholderiales; Comamonadaceae
Description: partial 16S ribosomal RNA
Rfam family: Bacterial small subunit ribosomal RNA
Source: RNAcentral
GUAAAGGCUCACCAAGCCGACGAUCUGUAGCUGGUCUGAGAGGACGACCAGCCACACUGGGACUGAGACACGGCCCAGACUCCUACGGGAGGCAGCAGUGGGGAAUUUUGGACAAUGGGCGCAAGCCUGAUCCAGCCAUGCCGCGUGCAGGAUGAAGGCCUUCGGGUUGUAAACUGCUUUUGUACGGAACGAAAAGGUUUGGCCUAAUACGCUGAACUCAUGACGGUACCGUAAGAAUAAGCACCGGCUAACUACGUGCCAGCAGCCGCGGUAAU